UACGGGAGGGGCAAGCGUUGUUCGGAAUUACUGGGCGUAAAGGGCUCGUAGGUGGUCAACUAAGUCGGACGUGAAAUCCCUCGGCUUAACCGGGGAACUGCGUCCGAUACUGGAUGACUUGAGUUCGGGAGAGGGAUGCGGAAUUCCAGGUGUAGCGGUGAAAUGCGUAGAUAUCUGGAGGAACACCGGUGGCGAAGGCGGCAUCCUGGACCGACACUGACGCUGAGGAGCGAAAGCCAGGGGAGCAAACGGG
Molecule: ribosomal RNA, 253 nt
Filed under: uncultured bacterium
Lineage: Bacteria
Description: partial 16S ribosomal RNA
Rfam family: Bacterial small subunit ribosomal RNA
Source: RNAcentral